Molecule: non-coding RNA, 45 nt
Filed under: Schistosoma margrebowiei
Lineage: Eukaryota; Metazoa; Platyhelminthes; Trematoda; Strigeidida; Schistosomatidae
Source: RNAcentral
AUUCAGCUGAUGUGUAGCAAAUAGGACGAAACGUGCGUCCUGGAU